GGCAGUCUUUGAUUGUCCGAGUUGUAGUUUAGAGAGGUGCUUUCCGCGCUGGACCGUGUACAAGUCCUCUGGGAUGAGGCGUCAUAGAGGGUGAGAAUCCCGUCCAUGACACGGACUACCAGUGCUAUGUGAUGCGCCUUCAAAGAGUCGAGUUGUUUGGGAAUGCAGCUCAAAAUGGGUGGUAAACUCCAUCUAAAGCUAAAUAUUGGCGAGAGACCGAUAGCGAACAAGUACCGUGAGGGAAAGAUGAAAAGAACUUUGGAAAGAGAGUUAAACAGUGCGUGAAAUUGCUGAAAGGGAAACGCUUGAAGUCAGUCGCGUUCGGCGGGACUCAGCCUUGCUUCUGCUUGGUGCACUUCCUGUCGGACGGGUCAGCAUCGAUUUUGACCGCUGGACAAUGGAGGGAGGAAUGUGGCACCCUCGGGUGUGUUAUAGCCUCUCUUCGUAUACAGUGAUUGGGAUCGAGGUCUGCAGCGCGCCUAUGGUCGGGGUUCGCCCACGUAUCGCGCUUAGGAUGCUGGCGUAAUGGCUUUAAACGACCCGUCUUGAAACACGGACCAAGGAGUCCAACAUGCAUGCGAGUGUUAGAGUGGUAAACUCUUGCGCGUAAUGAAAGUGAAAAGUUGGGACUCUCGUCACUGGGAGGNACCGACGCCCGAUCCUGACCUUCUGCGACGGAUUUGAGGUAGAGCAUGUAUGCUGGGACCCGAAAGAUGGUGAACUAUGCCUGAAUAGGGUGAAGCCAGAGGAAACUCUG
RNAcentral lists this ribosomal RNA (757 nucleotides) under Protodontia insularis. Its description in RNAcentral is "partial large subunit ribosomal RNA". It matches the Rfam family "Eukaryotic large subunit ribosomal RNA", at positions 123 to 866 of the family's 3401-position model. Lineage: Eukaryota; Fungi; Basidiomycota; Agaricomycetes; Auriculariales; Hyaloriaceae. The record is from RNAcentral.